AAUAGAUACCCUGGUAGUCCACGCCGUAAACGAUGGAUACUAGCUGUUCGGAGUAAUCUGAGUGGCUAAGCGAAAGUGAUAAGUAUCCCACCUGGGGAGUACGUUCGCAAGAAUGAAACUCAAAGGAAUUGACGGGGGCCCGCACAAGCGGUGGAGCAUGUGGUUUAAUUCGAUGAUACGCGAGGAACCUUACCAGGGCUUAAAUGUAGAUUGACAGGUUUAGAGAUAGUACUUUUCUUCGGACAAUUUACAAGGUGCUGCAUGGUUGUCGUCAGCUCGUGCCGUGAGGUGUCAGGUUAAGUCCUAUAACGAGCGCAACCCCUGUUGUUAGUUGCCAGCGAGUAAUGUCGGGAACUCUAACAAGACUGCCAGUGCAAACUGUGAGGAAGGUGGGGAUGACGUCAAAUCAUCACGGCCCUUACGUCCUGGGCUACACACGUGCUACAAUGGUAGGGACAGAGAGCAGCCACUUCCGCGAGAAGGAGCGAAUCUAUAAACCCUAUCACAGUUCGGAUCGGAGU
RNAcentral lists this ribosomal RNA (521 nucleotides) under uncultured bacterium. RNAcentral's name for it is "bacterial SSU rRNA". It matches the Rfam family "Bacterial small subunit ribosomal RNA", at positions 777 to 1304 of the family's 1533-position model. The record is from RNAcentral.